CGCGUGAGGAUCUGCCCUUAGGAUGGGGACAACGACUGGAAACGGUCGCUAAUACCCAAUGUGCCGAGAGGUGAAAACUUUAGUGCCUGAGGAUGAACUCGCGUCUGAUUAGCUAGUUGGUAGUGUAAUGGACUACCAAGGCGACGAUCAGUAGCUGGUCUGAGAGGAUGAUCAGCCACACUGGGACUGAGACACGGCCCAGACUCCUACGGGAGGCAGCAGUGGGGAAUUUUCCGCAAUGGGCGAAAGCCUGACGGAGCAACGCCGCGUGAGGGACGAAGGUCUGUGGAUUGUAAACCUCUUUUCUCUAGGAAGAAGAACUGACGGUACUAGAGGAAUCAGCAUCGGCUAACUCCGUGCCAGCAGCCGCGGUAAUACGGAGGAUGCAAGCGUUAUCCGGAAUUAUUGGGCGUAAAGCGUCCGUAGGCGGUUUUACAAGUCUGCUGUUAAAGCGUGCAGCUUAACUGCAUAAUGGCGGUGGAAACUGUAAGACUAGAGUGUAGUAGGGGUAGAGGGAAUUCCCAGUGUAGCGGUGAAAUGCGUAGAUAUUGGGAAGAACACCGGUGGCGAAAGCGCUCUACUGGGCUACAACUGACGCUGAUGGACGAAAGCUAGGGGAGCGAAA
Molecule: ribosomal RNA, 625 nt
Filed under: Leptolyngbya breviarticulata ISB 46
Lineage: Bacteria; Bacillati; Cyanobacteriota; Cyanophyceae; Leptolyngbyales; Leptolyngbyaceae
Description: bacterial SSU rRNA
Rfam family: Bacterial small subunit ribosomal RNA
Source: RNAcentral